This is a non-coding RNA of Atribacteria bacterium 34_128, 210 nucleotides long. NCBI's taxonomy places the organism in Bacteria, Pseudomonadati, Atribacterota. The record is from Rfam.
AGAAAAGUUUUAAGGGGAAGAGUAGAAUAAAGUUGGCUAUAAUUUUGUUCGAAAGUCAUCCCUAAGCUGUUAAUCUGAAAAACAAGAGUAGGAUUAACCGAUAGUUACGUUAUAACUUAAACAUUGAGAGCCUGUUUAAUAUAGAUAUUAUAGAAUAUUCUUAGACAGGAAUUAAGGUGGUACCGCGGAUAGACUCCUUUCGUCCUUUUG